GAUGAACGCUGGCGGCGUGCCUAAUACAUGCAAGUCGAGCGAACAGACGAGGAGCUUGCUCCUCUGACGUUAGCGGCGGACGGGUGAGUAACACGUGGAUAACCUACCUAUAAGACUGGGAUAACUUCGGGAAACCGGAGCUAAUACCGGAUAAUAUAUUGAACCGCAUGGUUCAAUAGUGAAAGACGGUUUUGCUGUCACUUAUAGAUAGAUCCGCGCCGCAUUAGCUAGUUGGUAAGGUAACGGCUUACCAAGGCAACGAUGCGUAGCCGACCUGAGAGGGUGAUCUGCCACACUGGAACUGAGACACGGUCCAGACUCCUACGGGAGGCAGCAGUAGGGAAUCUUCCGCAAUGGGCGAAAGCCUGACAGAGCAACGCCGCGUGAGUGAUGAAGGUCUUCGGAUCGUAAAACUCUGUUAUUAGGGAAGAACAAAUGUGUAAGUAACUAUGCACGUCUUGACGGUACCUAAUCAGAAAGCCACGGCUAACUACGUG
Molecule: ribosomal RNA, 497 nt
Filed under: uncultured bacterium
Lineage: Bacteria
Description: partial 16S ribosomal RNA
Rfam family: Bacterial small subunit ribosomal RNA
Source: RNAcentral